Molecule: long non-coding RNA, 1515 nt
Filed under: Mus musculus (house mouse)
Lineage: Eukaryota; Metazoa; Chordata; Mammalia; Rodentia; Muridae
Description: novel transcript
Source: RNAcentral
GGCUUCUUGAUCCUAUGUGUUGUAUUGAGUGUUGGUCACUGGUCUUUGGGAAGCUUGGACAGAAGUGGGGCAGCCAUGGAGCUGCUGACUGGGACUGGCCUGUGGCCCGUGGUCAUAGUCACAGUCAUCUUCAUAUUACUGGUGGACAUGUUGCACCGGUGCCAGCGCUGGACUUCUUGCUGCCCACCAGACCCUGUGCCAUGGCCUGUGCUGGGUAACCUGCUGCAGGUGGACCUGGAUAACAUGCCAUAUAACUUGUACAAGGUGUGGUCCUUGCUCCUUAUGGGCCUGAGUGGAAAGAGCAGAGGUGAUUCUCUGCGUCGACCCUGUGCAACUUCAGCCUGGGCAAGAAAUCACUGGAGCAGUGGGUGAUGGAAGAGGUUGGACACCUCUUUGAUGUCUUCACUGCCCAUGCUGGGAGUCCCCUCAAUCCUUACCCUCUCUUGGACAAAGCCGUGUGCAAUGUGAUUGUGUCUCUCAUUUAUGCCCAUCGCUUCGAGUAUGGAGACCCUGACUUCAUCAAGAUGCUAAAAAGGAGGCUGUAGACAAGAGAUUUGGAAAGAACACAUCUAGAAGUGUCCACCACAGUAAUAGGAGCCUGGAGAUUGACAUACAGCAAAAGGAAGUGAGAAGCUGACCAAGGUCAGGGCUUCUAGAAGCUGAGACCCUGGCCCUCUGCCCACAUGGAACAUCUGUGAGAUUUUCCAGGUUCUGAACACAUUCCCAAUUCUCCUACGCAUCCCAGGGUUGGCUGACAAAGUCUUCCCUGGGCAAAAGACAUUUCUCAUAAUGGUGGAUAAGCUGGUGACUGAGCACAAGAGGACCUGGAACUCGGACCAGCCGCCUCGAGACCUGACUGAUGCCUUUAUGGCUGAGAUGGAGAAGGCAAAGGGAAACCCUGAGAGUAGCUUCAAUGAUGCAAAUCUAUGUCUGGUUGUCCUUGACCUGCUGGGUGCUGCAACUGUGACCACCUCAACCACACUGUCCUGGGCCCUGCUGCUUAUGAUCCUGCAUCCGGAUGUGCAGUGCCAAGUACAACAGGAAAUCGAUGAGGUCAUUUGGUAUGUGUGGCUUCCAGAGAUGGCAGACCAGGUCUGCAUGCCCUUCACCAAUGCUGUCAUUCAUGAGGGCAUGACUCUCAUCUCCAACCUGUUCCGUGCUGAAGGAUGAGACUGUCUGGGAGAAGCCCCUUCGCUUCCAUCCUGAACACUUCCUGGAUGCCCAGGGCCACUUUGUGAAGCCUGAGGCCUUCAUGCCAUUCUCAGCAGGCCACAGAUCAUGCCUGGGGGAGCCCCUGGCCCUCAUGGAGCUCUUCCUCUUCUUCACCUGCCUCCUGCAGCGCUUUAGCUUCUCAAUGCCAGCUGGACAAUCCCUUCCCAGUGAUUAUGGCAUCUAUACAAUGCCAGUUACUCCAGCACCUACCAGCUCUGUGCAGUGGUUUGCUAGCAGGGGCAGUGGCUCCAGCCAUCAUCACAGAUUGUUCUGACUGAUGUCCAAUAAACAAGUUUUGUGUCU